CUACGGGAGGCUCCAGUGGGGAAUCUUAGACAAUGGGCGCAAGCCUGAUCUAGCCAUGCCGCGUGAGUGAUGAAGGCCUUAGGGUCGUAAAGCUCUUUCGCUGGGGAAGAUAAUGACGGUACCCAGUAAAGAAACCCCGGCUAACUCCAUGCCAGCAGCCGCGGUAAUACGGAGGGGGUUAGCGUUGUUCGGAAUUACUGGGCGUAAAGCGCGCGUAGGCGGAUCAGAAAGGUGGGGGUGAAAUCCCGGGGCUCAACCCCGGAAUUGCCUUCAAAACUCCUGGUCUUGAGUUCGAGAGAGGUGAGUGGAAUUCCGAGUGUAGAGGUGAAAUUCGUAGAUAUUCGGAGGAACACCAGUGGCGAAGGCGGCUCACUGGCUCGAUACUGACGCUGAGGUGCGAAAGCGUGGGGAGCAAACAGGAUUAGAUACCCGUGUAGUC
RNAcentral lists this ribosomal RNA (439 nucleotides) under uncultured bacterium. RNAcentral's name for it is "partial 16S ribosomal RNA". It matches the Rfam family "Bacterial small subunit ribosomal RNA", at positions 339 to 795 of the family's 1533-position model. The record is from RNAcentral.